Molecule: long non-coding RNA, 1924 nt
Organism: Oncorhynchus keta (chum salmon)
Lineage: Eukaryota; Metazoa; Chordata; Actinopteri; Salmoniformes; Salmonidae
Exons: 3
Source: RefSeq, a predicted model, not a curated record
CAACAGGAAGGCAGAAGAGGAAGAGUGUGAGAAAAAUGUUUGAUCGUUGAAUAGGUGUAAUGACUGUGUCUGUAAUGUUAGGUAAUGUUCUGAUGUAUCAUCGAUGUUUAAUGACCAGGUCUUGCAUUGUUAGGUAAUGUUCUGAUGUAUCAUCAAUGUUUAAUGACCAGGUCUUGCAUUGUUAGGUAAUGUUCUGAUGUAUCAUCGAUGUUUAAUGACCAGGUCUUGCAUUGUUAGGUAAUGUUCUGAUGUAUCAUCGAUGUUUAAUGACCAGGUCUUGCAUUGUUAGGUAAUGUUCUGAUGUAUCAUCGAUGUUUAAUGACCAGGUCUUGCAUUGUUAGGUAAUGUUCUGAUGUAUCAUCGAUGUUUAAUGACCAGGUCUUGCAUUGUUAGGUAAUGUUCUGAUGUAUCAUCAAUGUUUAAUGACCUUGUCUUGCAUUGUUAGGUAAUGUUCUGAUGGAUCAUCGAUGUUUAAUGACCUUGUCUUGCAUUGUUAGGUAAUGUUCUGCUGUAUCAUCGAUGUUUAAUGACCUUGUCUUGCAUUGUUAGGUAAUGUUCUGAUGUAUCAUCAAUGUUUAAUGACCAGGUCUUGCAUUGUUAGGUAAUGUUCUGAUGUAUCAUCGAUGUUUAAUGACCUUGUCUUGCAUUGUUAGGUAAUGUUCUGAUGUAUCAUCGAUGUUUAAUGACCUUGUCUUGCAUUGUUAGGUAAUAUUCUGAUGUAUGAUCGAUGUUUAAUGACCAGGUCUUGCAUUGUUAGGUAAUGUUCUGAUGUAUCAUCAAUGUUUAAUGACCUUGUCUUGCAUUGUUAGGUAAUGUUCUGAUGUAUCAUCGAUGUUUAAUGACCUUGUCUUGCAUUGUUAGGUAAUGUUCUGAUGUAUCAUCAAUGUUUAAUGACCAGGUCUUGCAUUGUUAGGUAAUGUUCUGAUGUAUCAUCGAUGUUUAAUGACCAGGUCUUGCAUUGUUAGGUAAUGUUCUGAUGUAUCAUCGAUGUUUAAUGACCUUGUCUUGCAUUGUUAGGUAAUAUUCUGAUGUAUGAUCGAUGUUUAAUGACCAGGUCUUGCAUUGUUAGGUAAUGUUCUGAUGUAUCAUCAAUGUUUAAUGACCUUGUCUUGCAUUGUUAGGUAAUGUUCUGAUGUAUCAUCGAUGUUUAAUGACCUUGUCUUGCAUUGUUAGGUAAUGUUCUGAUGUAUCAUCAAUGUUUAAUGACCAGGUCUUGCAUUGUUAGGUAAUGUUCUGAUGUAUCAUCGAUGUUUAAUGACCAGGUCUUGCAUUGUUAGGUAAUGUUCUGAUGUAUCAUCGAUGUUUAAUGACCUUGUCUUGCAUUGUUAGGUAAUGUUCUGAUGUAUCAUCGAUGUUUAAUGACCAGGUCUUGCAUUGUUAGGUAAUGUUCUGCUGUAUCAUCGAUGUUUAAUGACCUUGUCUUGCAUUGUUAGGUAAUGUUCUGAUGUAUCAUCAAUGUUUAAUGACCAGGUCUUGCAUUGUUAGGUAAUGUUCUGAUGUAUCAUCGAUGUUUAAUGACCUUGUCUUGCUUUGUUAGGUAAUGUUCUGAUGUAUCAUCAAUGUUUAAUGACCUUGUCUUGCAUUGUUAGGUAAUGUUCUGAUGUAUCAUCGAUGUUUAAUGACCUUGUCUUGCAUUGCUAGGUAAUGUUCUGAUGUAUCAUCGAUGUUUAAUGACCUUGUCUUGCAUUGUUAGGUAAUGUUCUGAUGUAUCAUCGAUGUUUAAUGACCAGGUCUUGCAUUGUUAGGUAAUGUUCUGCUGUAUCAUCGAUGUUUAAUGACCUUGUCUUGCAUUGUUAGGUAAUGUUCUGAUGUAUCAUCGAUGUUUAAUGACCAGGUCUUGCAUUGUUAGGUAAUGUUCUGAUGUAUCAUCAAUGUUUAAUGACCUUGUCUUGCAUUGUUAGGUAAUGUUCUGCUGUAUCAUCGA